UACGUAGGGGGCAAGCGUUAUCCGGAUUUACUGGGUGUAAAGGGAGCGUAGGCGGUUCAGCAAGUCAGAAGUGAAAGCCCGGGGCUCAACUCCGGGACUGCUUUUGAAACUGUUGAACUAGAUUGCAGGAGAGGUAAGUGGAAUUCCUAGUGUAGCGGUAAAAUGCGUAGAUAUAUGGAAGAACACCAGUGGCGAAGGCGGCUCUCUGGUCUGUAACUGACGCUGAGGCUCGAAAGCAUGGGUAGCGAACAGG
This 253-nucleotide ribosomal RNA is filed under the name uncultured Coprococcus sp. RNAcentral describes it as "partial 16S ribosomal RNA". It matches the Rfam family "Bacterial small subunit ribosomal RNA", at positions 524 to 776 of the family's 1533-position model. The record is from RNAcentral. Lineage: Bacteria; Bacillati; Bacillota; Clostridia; Lachnospirales; Lachnospiraceae.